Molecule: ribosomal RNA, 387 nt
Filed under: uncultured bacterium
Lineage: Bacteria
Description: bacterial SSU rRNA
Rfam family: Bacterial small subunit ribosomal RNA
Source: RNAcentral
AUUGAACGCUGGCGGCAUGCUUUACACAUGCAAGUCGAACGGCAGCGCGGGGGCAACCCUGGCGGCGAGUGGCGAACGGGUGAGUAAUGCAUCGGAACGUAUCCUGUAAUGGGGGAUAACGUAGCGAAAGUUACGCUAAUACCGCAUACGCUCGAGAGAGGAAAGUGGGGGAUCGCAAAGACCUCACGUUAUAGGAGCGGCCGAUGUCCGAUUAGCUAGUUGGUGGGGUAAAGGCCUACCAAGGCGACGAUCGGUGGCUGGUCUGAGAGGAUGAUCAGCCACACUGGGACUGAGACACGGCCCAGACUCCUACGGGAGGCAGCAGUGGGGAAUUUUGGACAAUGGGCGAAAGCCUGAUCCAGCCAUGCCGCGUGCGGGAAGAAGGCC